GGAAAAGAGGCUCGUAUGUUUUCAUCAGCCCUUCUGGUUGAACAGUUACGGUUGUGGAAGGUCUGUGUGCAACAUGGAUACUGUGUGUCGUUCUUUGAUGAUUUAUUUCCUGCCUUAUGCAUUUGGUUGAAUGUGCCUGCAUUUAGGAAGCUGAUUGAAAACAGUGUCCUCAGCGAAUAUACUGCCAUUGCCAAGGAAGCAUACCUUGUACUGGGUGCUUUAACUAGAAGACUGCCAACUUUUUAUUCCCACAUGCAACAUUUGGACAGGGGUACUACAAUAGAAGCAGAGAGCUGGUGUUGGGCCCAGGUUGGUCCUAUGAUUGAUUCCGCCCUAGAGUCUAUUAGGAUAAAGGAGAUACCACUCCUAUCUCAUCUUUUUGAGGGGGAAAAUGAUGAGAAAUUGAAUGGUGAUAUGCAAGAUUCAGCAGUUCCUCCUUUGCUGUGGUUGAUAUCUUCAAUUAUGGACAUGCUUUCUGCAGUGCUUGAAGCUGUAAUCCCAGAAGAUAAUGC
This 512-nucleotide unclassified non-coding RNA is filed under the name Hevea brasiliensis (rubber tree). The record is from RNAcentral. Lineage: Eukaryota; Viridiplantae; Streptophyta; Magnoliopsida; Malpighiales; Euphorbiaceae.